Helianthus annuus (common sunflower) is the source of this 392-nucleotide long non-coding RNA. RefSeq lists it as uncharacterized. The record is from RefSeq and is a predicted model, not a curated record. NCBI's taxonomy places the organism in Eukaryota, Viridiplantae, Streptophyta, Magnoliopsida, Asterales, Asteraceae. The transcript has 3 exons.
CUCGAAUGUACAGGGGCUUCAAGAAGCCAAGCCCUAGUUCUUCAAAAAGCUUCAAAUUAAGGGAUGAUUCAAGGCUCAAAUUCGUGAAUUCUCAUGGAUUAAUGAUCACCAUCACAAGGGGAUCAUAAGGAACGUGUCAAGGAGAGCUCAAGCAUAGGAGGAUAACGGGUCAAGAUAAGGCAAGGUCACAAAUACACUUAUUGGAGCACUCAAGGGAUGAGAACGUCAGACUCUUGUAGAAUUGAAGCCGAACCUGGAAGCCGAACUCGAAACAAAGGAAUCCGAGAGGAUAGUCGAAUGAAUUAAAGUUUAUGUUGUUGAAUGUUAUAUGAUUUUUAAUUGUACCAGAUUAUUGUAGUAUGAUGUUGUCAAUGACUAAUGGUUAAGUUGUA